GUCCAGUUCAAAAGCAGGUCUGAUUUCCUGAAGCAAGCACAAGCCCUUCCUUCUGAGAUCCAGUGUCAAGAGUGAGCGGGAUGAGGAUGGGACUCCGAGCACAGCUAGCCAAGCCCAUUCUAAUCUAAUGGAAAUCUGAUAUACAGUCCAGACAUUCCUAAGUGACAAAUUUCUAUACUCAAACUGCUUGCUGCCAUCCAUAUAGCAUGAAGUGAUUUGGCUUUCCUGAUUCUGCAGUCAGUGCGUGGCCUCAGCUCCAUCUCACUGUGCCCCUUCCCGAGCAGGAAGCCUGCCAGAUGGCUGCAGGACCUGAUCUCACCUCCAGGCUGCUUCACAGAACUGACGCUGUCUUACGAGAUUUUAUCCAAGCUUGAAAGCUUCUUAUUUCUUCCAUCAGUCUCAUAAACAUUUCCAUCCCUGAUUAGAAUUCUACUCUCCAAAAAAUAUCUCAAAACGCUUCACAGACCCACAGGUUGUGUGUUUAUCACCUACUGCCGGGCUCAGUUAUACCAGCACAAACCCCACACCAUUGCAGUGAACUGGGAUUGAACUAACCAGGAUUUACACUGACGAAGCUCAACGUGUUAUUUAAGCCCUUUUACACAAGGCUGCCAGGAGAUGCUCCCUCUCCCCACUAUAAUAUGCUGCACAUUAAGAAAAUGGAAACACCCAGUGGGCUUCUUAUAGAGAAAUAAAGAAAAAAAAAAGGGAAAACAAAGUCAUGGGGCAAACAGAUUUCGUGUGAAAAGCAAGUAUAGAGUGGAUCUGUUUUCCUGCCAAGUGUCAAUAUUAAUGGUAACAAAGUGAGCUCUUGUUUUUGGUUGCCAUGGCCAGGAACACACAAUCCUGUAAACAGCCUAUGAGGAUUCUCAUUCCCUCUGCUUUGAAUCAGACUAUACAUUAUGCAAAGGACAUAUGAUACAGUAGCAGAAAGCCCUAAGAACUGAGUGAGGUCCAAACCAGCAAUGCAAUGUAGUCUUUCAGAAGUUUCAAGGUAGAUCUUG
Molecule: long non-coding RNA, 1004 nt
Organism: Neopelma chrysocephalum (saffron-crested tyrant-manakin)
Lineage: Eukaryota; Metazoa; Chordata; Aves; Passeriformes; Pipridae
Exons: 3
Source: RefSeq, a predicted model, not a curated record